Stegodyphus dumicola is the source of this 125-nucleotide small nuclear RNA. Lineage: Eukaryota; Metazoa; Arthropoda; Arachnida; Araneae; Eresidae. The record is from RefSeq and is a predicted model, not a curated record.
ACGUUAUAUGAAAGAACAGAAAAUCUACUAUCCUUGAUAAGGAUAGACUGGCUUUUGGGUCUAAACAUAUAUAUGUAGUUAAAGUAAGUAUUGCCUACUCUUAGAAAACAUAACCAACUUUUUUU